RNAcentral lists this ribosomal RNA (439 nucleotides) under uncultured bacterium. Its description in RNAcentral is "bacterial SSU rRNA". It matches the Rfam family "Bacterial small subunit ribosomal RNA", at positions 29 to 513 of the family's 1533-position model. The record is from RNAcentral.
AACGAACGCUGGCGGCAGGCCUAACACAUGCAAGUCGAACGCCCUAGCAAUAGGGAGUGGCAGACGGGUGAGUAACGCGUGGGAACGUACCCUUCGGUUCGGAAUAACCCAGGGGAAACUUGGACUAAUACCGGAUACGUGCGAGAGCAGAAAGAUUUAUCGCCGAAGGAUCGGCCCGCGUCCGAUUAGCUAGUUGGUGAGGUAAUGGCUCACCAAGGCGACGAUCGGUAGCUGGCUGAGAGGAUGAUCAGCCACACUGGGACUGAGACACGGCCCAGACUCCUACGGGAGGCAGCAGUGGGGAAUAUUGGACAAUGGGCGCAAGCCUGAUCCAGCCAUGCCGCGUGAGUGAUGAAGGCCCUAGGGUUGUAAAGCUCUUUCGCCAGGGACGAUAAUGACGGUACCUGGAUAAGAAGCCCCGGCUAACUUCGUGCCAGCA